RNAcentral lists this unclassified non-coding RNA (383 nucleotides) under Hevea brasiliensis (rubber tree). Lineage: Eukaryota; Viridiplantae; Streptophyta; Magnoliopsida; Malpighiales; Euphorbiaceae. The record is from RNAcentral.
GGGAAACAAUGCUUUUACAAACCUCAACAAGAAUAAUGGCACAGCUGCUAAUAAUGAGGGUUCAGAAUCUGUUGCAAAUGAAAGAGCGGAGACUGCAGAGAAAAAUCUCAGCAUCAAUGACAAUUAGUGAGGAUAUAUGUUUUACAAAAAUGAGUACUUUGACUUGCACAAGUCCUAAUUCUACCCAAAGGAUAGAGAAGGACUAGAGAUAAUGAAGAAAUGUAGAUGCAGCAGAAUGACACAUCUUAAACGAUCAUGUUAUAGGUUCACCCACUUGGGGGUGUUGAGAUUUCAAGUCCUUCGACAUUUUUAGAGUUUGCCCGUAGCGGUGUAAUUGUACAUAUAUAUGCUCCUUUUUAUGAUUCAAGUCCAUUAAUGCCAGG